RNAcentral lists this long non-coding RNA (464 nucleotides) under Homo sapiens (human). RNAcentral's name for it is "non-protein coding lnc-BRIX1-3:1". The record is from RNAcentral. Lineage: Eukaryota; Metazoa; Chordata; Mammalia; Primates; Hominidae.
CAAACAAACAAAACAGAGAAAAGAAGAGAGGCACCCCUUACAUGUUCUCUAGGGCUUUUAGAAAACAUGAAGAUGUUCCUCUGGUCACAUACAUGCAAAUCUAUAAGAAAGGUGAUACUGUGGAAAUCAAGGGAAUAGGCAUUGUCCAAAAGGGAAUACCCCACAAGUGUUACCAUGGCAAGACUGAGAGAGCCUACAUUGUUAUCCAGCAAGCUGUUGGUGUUGUCAACCCAAGAUUUUUGACAAGAUUCUUGCCAACAGAAUAAAUAUGUGUUUGGUGCAUAUUCAGCACUCUAAGAGCUGGGAUGGCCUCAUGAAACUUCUGAAAGAAAAUGGUUAGAAAAAAAAGGAAGUCAAAGAGAUAGUUCCCUGGGUUCAACUGAAAUGCCAACCUACUUCAUCCAGGGAAGCACACUUUGUGAGAACUAAUGGGAAAGAGCCUGAGCUGCUGGAACCUGUUCCCU